AUAUGUAUAUGUAUAUAAAUAGUAGAAUUAUUUUGUUAUUUGUUUAAACAAAAUUACCUUUUUUAUAAGCAACAGUAUUCGUUUUUUACUUAUAUCUUUCAAUUAUUAUUAUUAUUACAAUAAAUAUACACAUUGUGAUAAUAAUAAAAGAUCUUCAGAUAAUUAAAAGUCAGAAUAUUCACAAUGUUUAGUAGACUAUAACAAGUAAAGUAUAAAGCUUUAAAAUGCAUUUAUUCAAGAAGUCUAUAAUGGAUCCAAGUCCACAACUUGUGUCAGCGAUUCCAAUCAAACACAUUGAUGAAGUACUAGAAAUUACAAAUAAAAUUCACUACGAUAUGAAAGAAUUCCAUUCAGAAAUUGAUUUAUCAAAGCAAAUACCCGAAGGUAUACAUCGAUUAACACCUUCAUUCAAUUCUCAAAAUGAUUUUUUUACAUGGGGGAAAAGAGUAGGACGUAAAUUGAAUCAAAUGAAAAAAGCCGGUAGCACUGAAUUGCUGUCAAAAUCUGGACGGAAAUAUCAUUGGAGCCCAAAUCGAACGAAUCACAAUGGAUGUAAUGAAAUUCAACUAAAUAGUUCAUGCAGCUCACCGAAAUCGCAAAAAAUAUCAAGAGUAGAAUCAUUGCGUAACUUACUGAAGAUUGGUGAACGUAAUAAUAAAAAUGACAAGAAUGAUGAUUUGUCCAGAACUAUUUCCAAUGAAAUGAUAGAUACUAAUACAGAUUUAUCACUGUAUCGUAUGAAUAAAACUCUUAGUGACAGUGCUUUGAGAACAACUAAGAUAAAUAAUUUAAAAAAUAUUCAAUCGAGAUCAUUACUAAGUGCAAAAAAAGAUCAUCUUAGUCGUGCUAUUAGUGAUUUACAAGAGCAACACAGAGUUUUGGACUAUUUUUUGAAUCAUCAUGAACUUCUGAAAACACAAGAAGGCACCAAAUUUAUUCAAGAGACAUUAAUUAAAUUAGAAACAAAGACUAGUUUAAAACGACGACUAAGUUUGGAAGCAUUGAAUUCUGAUGGCUGUGAAGUUGCUAAACAAAAUUGCAAUAAGUUAUUAAAACAUGUUAAGAAAAAUUUAUUUAAAUUAAAGGAAAGUAAUCACAAUAACUCUAACAAAGAAAAAAGCAAUAAAUUACAAAAAGAAGUUCCCAAAUCAAGAUUAGAAGAUUUAUUGAACAGUUUACGACUUGGCAAUGAAGAGAAUGGUUAUGAUACUGAUAGUUUUCGAACUGGUACUGAUUCUCUUGAUAAUGAACAAGUUACUCGAAAACCGCAAAGUUCUUCUUUAACGUCAGUAAAUUUUCCAAGUAUUGACUUGUCAUUAAACAAUCUUACUCAAUCAUCAAUUAACUUAGAAAGCACAUCUAUUAAAGAGAAUGAAAAUUAUCAUCAAUUGGAUGAUAUUCACAACUCAUCUGUUAACACAGAUGCUUCUACUACGAUGAUUGAAGCCGACACAAAUGAUAGUGAUAAUGAUGAUAACAAUAAUUUUGAAGCAUUUAUUAAUAGCCGAGUUAAUGUUUCUUUUUCAGAUCAAGAGUCAAUGUCAACUCAAAGUAAUCUGUUUAUAAGUAAUAAAAAUAGUUCAAAGAGCUUAACAGAUUUGAACAAAACGCCUGAAAAAAAUCCAACUUUCUGUCAAACUGCACAUUUAAGUUUGACUAGGAAAUUUAAAAAACGAUCCUUGCCUACAUUAAAUGAUAUUACGUCUUAUAAAUGUCGAAUGAAAUUACAAAACUUUCAUGAGAACAUGAAAAUUAAAUCAAGAAACAAGAAGUUAUCGCAGCACAGUAUAUUGAGUCUUCUUGAUAAUGCUGUAUCACCUGGUAAAGAUAGUCCACCUGCAACAAAAGUCAAAUCUAUUAUGCCAAUAAACAAUAUUGAAUACUAUAAUCCUAAAAGAUCUCGAUCUAAAAUGGAAUCAGAAACAUCGGAUACCGUGUCACCUAACAGAGUUAAAAGACCAAUGUUUGCAAUUCCAAAUUCUCUACCAAUAUCAUCAAAGCUUUUAAAUCAUCGAGAGUUAAAAUUUAUUAAAUUAUUUAUUAAACAACCAGGAAAUUUAGGAAUUUUCGUUGAAAGACAAGAAGCUGCUAAACCUUUCUUUAUUAUAACUAAAAUUGAUCCUAAUGGAGAAGCAGCAAAAUCUAAACAAAUCCAAAUUGGAGACGAAAUUGUUCGUAUCAGUGGAAGGAGAUUACGAGGGAUGUCUAUUCAAGAAGCUAGAACUGCAUUGAAGAAUUGUGUUGGUCAAAUCGAACUUCAAAUAGCUAGAGAACCUCGUCUCGUUUUACGAGAUGAAUUUGAUGAUGCUUGGAGAGAUUCUUUGAAACGAACUAAAAGCGAUUCCGAUGUUUGGACAAUCAAAAAUUUGACAUUCGAUGAUGUUAAUAAGGAAACAGCUCAAUUAAAUGAUACACCUAAAGACAUAGAAAUGAGAUGUGAUUUAAAUAAAAGUAAAACAACUACGAAUGUUGUGAAUUCAAUAGGAGGUAGUGAUAAUGAAAAAAUUAAUGAUGAUUCAUCUCCAAAAAUGACUGGGAUGCGUAAAUUUCAUGUUAUCAAAAAACGUGCUUCUAAGACAAAUCUUUUAUUACGUCAAUCAAGUAAUUCUCAGAUGGAAUUAUUGACUAUUACACUAGAAAAGGGUGCUUCAAAAAAACUAGGAUUUUCUAUUGUUGGAGGAUCUGAUAGUUCGAUAGGAAACAUAGGGAUUUUUGUUAAAGAUAUUAUUGAAGAUGGUCAAGCUGCUGAAGAAGGAACCUUGAAGAUUGGAGAUGAGAUCUUAGCCAUCAAUGGUCAACCUGUUACUGGUCUUACACAUGCUAAAGCGUUGCAAAUCUUUAAAGCUGCUAAACCAGGAAAAAUGAUCAUACAAAUUGGCAGAAGAGAUUUAUCACACAAACGGUUGGAUGGGUGAUUUACGAAUCAUCAUUAGUCAUUCUAGUUCAUUAACCUUUGUUUUGAAUGACGUAUUAGAGGUGACAGAAAUUCACCCCAUCUCUUGAAGAUGAUUCUUUAUAAGAAAAAGUGGAUAUUAAAUCUGAAAAGAAAAAUUAAAUUUCAUUUUCUGGGGAGAAAUUGUAUUCAAAUGAUAUCAAAAAAGGCAUAAAAUAAUAUUUGUGGGAGAUUGAUAAUUGGAAGAAGUAACGAUUUUGCUUUUACUUUAUAAAUAUAUAAUUAUCUGAAAAAUGUGAUAUACAAUUAAUAUAUCUAAUGAUCUGUAAUGUUUUACAUUGAACAAUUAAGAACGAGGAUUUGAAGUAAGAAUUGAAUGAAGAAUUAAGUUACCUGGUGAGUACGGCGGUAAAUAUGUAGCAGGAGGUGGAGCAAUACGUGGUGGACUCGGUGCAGGUAUUGCUACAGAGGGUGAUGGCAAUGAAAAUGGAAUUUUUGGACGUUCAUAGUUAUAUCCAGCUUGUCUACUGGCUCUAUGAUGACAAUUUGAAGUGUUGGCCAAUAAAAUUAAUAUUGCCAACUAUAAGAAGUAAUUAAUUAAUUUUUAUAAUAUAAUCAAAUUGAUUUUCAAGCUUAUUUAUCUAAGACUUACCCAUCGGAACAGCAACAUAAUUUGUUCUUCAUUAGAAAAGUAACGCUGCUUCUUCCUUUAUAUAUGGGCUUUGCGUUCUUAAAUUGUAAAAGAUCUGUCAUUCUGUAACCGCAAACUUGAUGA
RNAcentral lists this unclassified non-coding RNA (3668 nucleotides) under Chelonus insularis. RNAcentral describes it as "uncharacterized LOC118075093, transcript variant X3". Lineage: Eukaryota; Metazoa; Arthropoda; Insecta; Hymenoptera; Braconidae. The record is from RNAcentral.